RNAcentral lists this ribosomal RNA (468 nucleotides) under uncultured bacterium. Its description in RNAcentral is "partial 16S ribosomal RNA". It matches the Rfam family "Bacterial small subunit ribosomal RNA", at positions 28 to 507 of the family's 1533-position model. The record is from RNAcentral.
GACGAACGCUGGCGGCGUGCUUAACACAUGCAAGUCGAACGGAAAGGCCCUGCUUUUGUGGGGUGCUCGAGUGGCGAACGGGUGAGUAACACGUGAGUAACCUGCCCUUGACUUUGGGAUAACUUCAGGAAACUGGGGCUAAUACCGGAUAGGAGCUCCUGCUGCAUGGUGGGGGUUGGAAAGUUUCGGCGGUUGGGGAUGGACUCGCGGCUUAUCAGCUUGUUGGUGGGGUAGUGGCUUACCAAGGCUUUGACGGGUAGCCGGCCUGAGAGGGUGACCGGCCACAUUGGGACUGAGAUACGGCCCAGACUCCUACGGGAGGCAGCAGUGGGGAAUAUUGCACAAUGGGCGGAAGCCUGAUGCAGCUACGCCGCGUGCGGGAUGACGGCCUUCGGGUUGUUAACCGCUUUCGCCUGUGACGAAGCGUGAGUGACGGUAAUGGGUAAAGAAGCACCGGCUAACUACGUG